UUUGGGAGAUGAUGACAACAUUUAUACUUAUCUCAAAGGCAUCAGCUAUGCUGAGUACUUUGCACGUCAGUCUGAUCCCUCU
This is a non-coding RNA of Punica granatum (pomegranate), 82 nucleotides long. The record is from Rfam. NCBI's taxonomy places the organism in Eukaryota, Viridiplantae, Streptophyta, Magnoliopsida, Myrtales, Lythraceae.